GUGGGUAACCUGCCCAUAAGACUGGGAUAACUCCGGGAAACCGGGGCUAAUACCGGAUAACAUUUUGAACCGCAUGGUUCGAAAUUGAAAGGCGGCUUCGGCUGUCACUUAUGGAUGGACCCGCGUCGCAUUAGCUAGUUGGUGAGGUAACGGCUCACCAAGGCAACGAUGCGUAGCCGACCUGAGAGGGUGAUCGGCCACACUGGGACUGAGACACGGCCCAGACUCCUACGGGAGGCAGCAGUAGGGAAUCUUCCGCAAUGGACGAAAGUCUGACGGAGCAACGCCGCGUGAGUGAUGAAGGCUUUCGGGUCGUAAAACUCUGUUGUUAGGGAAGAACAAGUGCUAGUUGAAUAAGCUGGCACCUUGACGGUACCUAACCAGAAAGCCACGGCUAACUACGUGCCAGCAGCCGCGGUAAUACGUAGGUGGCAAGCGUUAUCCGGAAUUAUUGGGCGUAAAGCGCGCGCAGGUGGUUUCUUAAGUCUGAUGUGAAAGCCCACGGCUCAA
RNAcentral lists this ribosomal RNA (510 nucleotides) under Bacillus cereus. RNAcentral's name for it is "bacterial SSU rRNA". It matches the Rfam family "Bacterial small subunit ribosomal RNA", at positions 117 to 612 of the family's 1533-position model. The record is from RNAcentral. Lineage: Bacteria; Bacillati; Bacillota; Bacilli; Caryophanales; Bacillaceae.